Molecule: ribosomal RNA, 200 nt
Filed under: uncultured microorganism
Description: partial 16S ribosomal RNA
Rfam family: Archaeal small subunit ribosomal RNA
Source: RNAcentral
GUGCACCAGUCGAAGAAACCUCCGCAAUACAACGAAAGUGUGGACGGGGCCAUCCCGAGUGCCCGUCCGCUGAGGACGGUCCUUUUCCCCAGUGUACACAGCGUGGGGGAAUAAGGAGAGGGCAAGCCUGGUGUCAGCCGCCGCGGUAAUACCAGCUCUCCGAGUGGGUGGGGACGCUUAGUUGGGACCUAAAAGCAUCC